AUUGAACGCUGGCGGCAGGCCUAACACAUGCAAGUCGAACGGUAACAGGAAGCAGCUUGCUGCUUCGCUGACGAGUGGCGGACGGGUGAGUAAUGUCUGGGAAACUGCCUGAUGGAGGGGGAUAACUACUGGAAACGGUAGCUAAUACCGCAUAACGUCGCAAGACCAAAGAGGGGGACCUUCGGGCCUCUUGCCAUCGGAUGUGCCCAGAUGGGAUUAGCUAGUAGGUGGGGUAACGGCUCACCUAGGCGACGAUCCCUAGCUGGUCUGAGAGGAUGACCAGCCACACUGGAACUGAGACACGGUCCAGACUCCUACGGGAGGCAGCAGUGGGGAAUAUUGCACAAUGGGCGCAAGCCUGAUGCAGCCAUGCCGCGUGUAUGAAGAAGGCCUUUCGGGUUGUAAAGUACUUUGCAGCGGGGAGGAAGGCGAUAAGGUUAAUAACCUUGUCGAUUGACGUUACCCGCAGAAGAAGCACCGCUAAC
Molecule: ribosomal RNA, 485 nt
Filed under: Enterobacter hormaechei
Lineage: Bacteria; Pseudomonadati; Pseudomonadota; Gammaproteobacteria; Enterobacterales; Enterobacteriaceae
Description: bacterial SSU rRNA
Rfam family: Bacterial small subunit ribosomal RNA
Source: RNAcentral